AUGGCGUCAAUCUCCAGAGCAUCGUCCCUUGUUGCCAUGGCCAUCGUCGUCGUGCUCGCCUCCGUGGCCAGCGCCCAGGGCCCUGCCCCGGCACCCACCGCCAGUGAUGGAACGAGCGUGGACCAAGGGAUCGCGUACGUGCUCAUGUUCGUGGCGCUGGCCCUCACCUACCUCAUCCACCCGCUGGACGCCGCCUCCGCCUACAGGCUCCUCUGA
This 216-nucleotide ribosomal RNA is filed under the name Triticum aestivum (bread wheat). Its description in RNAcentral is "partial small subunit ribosomal RNA". Lineage: Eukaryota; Viridiplantae; Streptophyta; Magnoliopsida; Poales; Poaceae. The record is from RNAcentral.